RNAcentral lists this unclassified non-coding RNA (267 nucleotides) under Hevea brasiliensis (rubber tree). Lineage: Eukaryota; Viridiplantae; Streptophyta; Magnoliopsida; Malpighiales; Euphorbiaceae. The record is from RNAcentral.
CUCCAAAGAAAAGAUUUCCCAAGGGUGCACGAAGCCUCACAUAGACAUCUUCUGGCUUUCCGACCACAUCGUAUGCAUAACAACCAAGUGAGUUUGGAUCUGUUCCCCAUCGCGAUACGAGAUAUCGAACAGGCUCUGUUGCAUCAGGAAACAUUUUCUUCAGCUGUAACAUCACAAAAUUUGCAGAAGACUCGUCAGAUAGCUUCUCAAGAUCACAUGCAAACCUACCAGCGGCCAUAUAGACAAGUACAGGAUGGCCAGUUGCCU